CGCCGAACUUCUUGUGACGUUGCACAAGAAACUGCCAUGAAGCAUUCAGCGCAGGCUUUCCGAACUCCCCACACGUUAUCAGAGCAGAGCUGGAAAAACCUCGGCAACAGCAUUUCUUCAGUGGCCUGCUGCCCAACCACACUGCAGAUAUCUCCAAAGUUGGCUGCACAUACCUUACGAACAUGAAACAUUCUGCAGUCACAGCACAUCUCACAAAACCUAGGAAGAACAAGUCUUUCCGUGAUGUCCUUUCCCACCAUGGAGGCCAUUUUGCACAUUAUAGCCACGGCUUCCGUCUUCACGUCGUCAUUGCUGUCUGGUGCUGUCAGGUCUA
Molecule: long non-coding RNA, 334 nt
Filed under: Gallus gallus (chicken)
Lineage: Eukaryota; Metazoa; Chordata; Aves; Galliformes; Phasianidae
Source: RNAcentral